UGAGCCARGUUUAGGGUUUUCUCAAAAYCCAAGCAGUAUUGAACUGAAGAGUUUGAUCAUGGCUCAGAUUGAACGCUGGCGGCAGGCCUAACACAUGCAAGUCGAGCGGAUGAAGGGAGCUUGCUCCUGGAUUCAGCGGCG
Molecule: ribosomal RNA, 141 nt
Filed under: Pseudomonas aeruginosa
Lineage: Bacteria; Pseudomonadati; Pseudomonadota; Gammaproteobacteria; Pseudomonadales; Pseudomonadaceae
Description: partial 16S ribosomal RNA
Rfam family: Bacterial small subunit ribosomal RNA (bases 41-141)
Source: RNAcentral